UACUAAGUUUCAACAACGGAUCUCUUNGCUCUCGCAUCGAUGAAGAACGCAGCGAAAUGCGAUAAGUAAUGUGAAUUGCAGAAUUCAGUGAAUCAUCGAAUCUUU
Molecule: ribosomal RNA, 105 nt
Filed under: Rhizoctonia solani
Lineage: Eukaryota; Fungi; Basidiomycota; Agaricomycetes; Cantharellales; Ceratobasidiaceae
Description: 5.8S ribosomal RNA
Rfam family: 5.8S ribosomal RNA
About the family: 5.8S ribosomal RNA (5.8S rRNA) is a component of the large subunit of the eukaryotic ribosome. It is transcribed by RNA polymerase I as part of the 45S precursor that also contains 18S and 28S rRNA. Functionally, it is thought that 5.8S rRNA may be involved in ribosome translocation.
Source: RNAcentral